Molecule: small nucleolar RNA, 143 nt
Organism: Caenorhabditis elegans
Lineage: Eukaryota; Metazoa; Nematoda; Chromadorea; Rhabditida; Rhabditidae
Source: Ensembl
CAGUGCCGAAUUUGUAUGCGUCGUUUCUCCCGAUCGGACCAUUUGACGACCCACGUGCGCACUCACACUGGCGAAAAACCAUACUCCUGCGACAUUUGCGGCAAAAAAUUUGCGCGAUGUGAUGAACGAACGCGGCACACAAA